Molecule: ribosomal RNA, 402 nt
Filed under: uncultured prokaryote
Description: bacterial SSU rRNA
Rfam family: Bacterial small subunit ribosomal RNA
Source: RNAcentral
UGGGGAAUAUUGCACAAUGGAGGAAACUCUGAUGCAGCAACGCCGCGUGGAGGAUGACGCAUUUCGGUGUGUAAACUCCUUUUAUAGGGGAAGAUAAUGACGGUACCCUAUGAAUAAGCACCGGCUAACUCCGUGCCAGCAGCCGCGGUAAUACGGAGGGUGCAAGCGUUACUCGGAAUCACUGGGCGUAAAGGAUGCGUAGGCUGGAGAUCAAGUCGAGAGUGAAAUCCAACGGCUUAACCGUUGAACUGCUCUCGAAACUGGUCUUCUAGAAUAUGGGAGAGGUAGAUGGAAUUAGUGGUGUAGGGGUAAAAUCCGUAGAUAUCACUAGGAAUACCGAUUGCGAAGGCGAUCUACUGGAACAUUAUUGACGCUGAGGCAUGAAAGCGUGGGGAGCAAACA